AAAUUUUACUUAACUGUAAUCUUAUUCUUAUCUAAGGGAAAACCUUAUACCAUUAUAGAUUAAUAAAAAUUUUAGGUUGGGGCGACCACGGAAUAAAGAAAAACCUCCGAGAUGAUAUUUUUAGAAAGACACUUCAAAAAAUAGAAAAAUCUAACAAAUUGAUCCAAUAAUUGAUCAACGAACCAAGUUACCCUAGGGAUAACAGCGCAAUCUCCUCCAAGAGUUCCUAUCGACGAGUGGGUUUACGACCUCGAUGUUGGAUCAGGACACCCAAAUGGUGCAGCAGCUAUUAAA
RNAcentral lists this ribosomal RNA (294 nucleotides) under Ambystoma bishopi (reticulated salamander). Its description in RNAcentral is "partial 16S ribosomal RNA". It matches the Rfam family "Bacterial large subunit ribosomal RNA", at positions 2195 to 2569 of the family's 2925-position model. Lineage: Eukaryota; Metazoa; Chordata; Amphibia; Caudata; Ambystomatidae. The record is from RNAcentral.